Long non-coding RNA from Mus musculus (house mouse), 1194 nucleotides. RefSeq annotates it as predicted gene, 54100. NCBI's taxonomy places the organism in Eukaryota, Metazoa, Chordata, Mammalia, Rodentia, Muridae. The transcript is spliced from 3 exons. The record is from RefSeq and is a predicted model, not a curated record.
AAGCUGGGUGUGGUAGCACAGGCUUGUAAUCACACCACUCGGAAGGCUGAAGCAGGACAAACCUGAGUUCAAAGCCCUCCAGGACUACAUAGCAAGUUCGAGACUAGCCUGGGCUGCAUCCCCUCCCCCACCAAAUAAAGUCUGCUCAUAUCUGCUCAGAAAUUCUGGCAAGAGAUGGAAGACUGAGUCCUUCAGAAGUAAACAUGAAUCGGGAAUCAGAAGAGAAGGGUGAUGAGACCAGUUGAUUAUAGAUGAUAGGAAUCAUGUAUUAAUAUUCUACCUGAGCCAAGCAUUAGAACAGUACUAUGGUAAGCAGGGGGACUUGUGUGACUCGGUCACUUCAAGUCUCCCGUUUCAAACUGUGCCUCAGAGCAAUAAUGCCGUCCUACCGUGAAGACCAGCUAUGAAAUGAGAGCUGUGUCAGGCACUUGCACUCAUUGUCCCUGAGUCACACAAUGGCCUGCAAGAUGUCUGUCACCCCUCUUUACAGAUGAGAGUUAAGUUCAGAGAUGACUGUCUGGAGGUAGUGAACCAGGAGGCUGAAAGAGAUCGCCUCUGCCUCCCAAGGUGUUUCCCCCUCAUGUGCCAUCAUGGCAGAGUGGGCCUAUGAGACUAGUCCAGUCCUCUACAGUCCAGUAGAAAUAGCUGUGAAAAACAAAAGUGGUAUUUUAAAAUGAUGAUCUUCGGAUAGCUAUUUGGACCACUUAUAGGGACCAUUAUGUCUCUAUAGGUGUCCUAUGGGAGAGAGACCUCAUCAGAGAGACAUUUUUCCUUUAAAUUCAGAGUACUGGUGAAGGUCUCUGCUUAAGGCACGCCACAUUGAAACAGUCAUGAGAGUGCUGAGGCUGGUGAGAGGCUGAGGAAUUUCGAUGUCCUGGGAAAUCAAGGAGAGCUGCAGAGCAACAUAAGAUAAAGGUUCUAAGCAUCAGCAGAUGAGCUGCAAGGGAUUCCUAGACUUGGGAGAGAGUGUGCUUCUGAGAAACAAAACAGCCCCACAGCUACCUGGGAACUGCAGCGAAACUGAACAGACCCUUGAAGCUGUCGCUCCAGGAUGCUGACAGACCCUUGAAGCUGGCACCAGGCCUCAGCAGCUCUUUCUUCUUGAGUUUCAAAAUUGCUCCUAAAUUAGAAAGGAAUUGCAGGGGUCUUCUCUCGUUUUGACUGGUGCAUGACCCGGGGACUAUCAAAUGCUUU